RNAcentral lists this ribosomal RNA (486 nucleotides) under uncultured bacterium. RNAcentral describes it as "partial 16S ribosomal RNA". It matches the Rfam family "Bacterial small subunit ribosomal RNA", at positions 28 to 507 of the family's 1533-position model. The record is from RNAcentral.
GAUGAACGCUGGCGGCGUGCCUAAUACAUGCAAGUCGAACGCUGGAAAUCUAGCUUGCUAGAUUGAAGGAGUGGCGAACGGGUGAGUAAUACAUAAGCAACCUACCCACGAAGACUGGGAUAAUCUCUGGAAACGGGGACUAAUACCGGAUAGGUAAUCGGAAGGCAUCUUCUGAUUAUUAAAGGUUAAAAACACUGGUGGAUGGGCUUAUGGCGCAUUAGUUAGUUGGUGAGGUAACGGCCCACCAAGACGAUGAUGCGUAGCCGGCCUGAGAGGGUGAACGGCCACGUUGGGACUGAGACACGGCCCAGACUCCUACGGGAGGCAGCAGUAGGGAAUUUUCGGCAAUGGGGGAAACCCUGACCGAGCAACGCCGCGUGAGUGAUGACGGCCUUCGGGUUGUAAAGCUCUGUUGUAAGGGAAGAACGGUAGAUAGAGAAUAUCUAAAUGACGGUACCUUACCAGAAAGCCACGGCUAACUACGUG